Molecule: long non-coding RNA, 988 nt
Organism: Helianthus annuus (common sunflower)
Lineage: Eukaryota; Viridiplantae; Streptophyta; Magnoliopsida; Asterales; Asteraceae
Exons: 5
Source: RefSeq, a predicted model, not a curated record
UUCAUCAUCUUCCUCGUUCCACCUUUUGGUUUUCUUUCCAAAUACAAAAUACAAUGGUUCAACAUUUCAAUAAAAAAUCAGAAUUGCGAAUUGAGAAUGGGAACGAGGGAAGUCGGAAGUCAGAAUACUCAAGAAAAGUGUUUUGCAAAUUAGGAAUUCAUGAUUCCUAUAUCAACAGGUAUGACUCAAUUAGUUGUUCGGAAUGCUAAUUUCACUGUCGAAUUCACGAUUUGGAGCGUUCCCGGAACGCGUUCGUACCGCGAAUCGGUACGCUCGAUCCGGAUCGUAGAUCGUGGCCUAUUGAGCGAUUUAUGUGACUAUGAUCACUACUCACUAGAGUGUACGAAAAGAAGGAACAUGCUGAAGUUGAAUUCACUCAAGGUACACGCUAUGAUUCAGGCGUAACGAAGAGAUUCCACGCUAUGUUUAUAUUAGGGGACACAAGGCAAUGCAGGUCUUGGAAAGUUGCUUGAAGAUCAAGGAAUACGAGCUUUAGAGACGCAAAAUGGUGACGAACAGGUUAGAGGAAGGUAUUUUUACUUUCGGUUGUUCCAACGCCUGCCAAGGGACGGCUUGAUUCCGGCAGAAAUCAUGUUUGACGCUAACAAGCUAUGUGGAAGCUUGGAGGAGGAAGCGGGUCAAACGAAUCAAGAAGGAGAAGAAAAGCGUAAUUUGGAUGCGAGGCAAACGGAAAGUAUGACUAUGUUUUGCCAAGGUUGGCGAAAAGUAAUGCAAUGUAUUAGAAACGAGUCAAUGUUGACCCGUACCAGGAAUGUCUUAUGGAACUCCGGAUGAGGAUCAAGCAAGAAAGGAGAACCGAACACAUGUCUCGAAGCUUCCGCAACGAUCUUAUUUUGUUCUAGUUAAAAAAGUGGAUAUUGUAAACACUUGAAAUUAUAUUUUGGAAUGUUUUAAAUUAUGUAAGAAGUUUAACUUGGAAAAGUUUUUGUAAGCUUGCAUUUUCGUAUAAAAUGCGUGUUUAAUAUUA